GACGAACGCUGGCGGUGUGCUUCACACAUGCAAGUCGAACGAGGUAGCAAUACCUAGUGGCGGACGGGUGAGUAACGCGUGGGAAUCUGCCUUUAGAUGGGGGAUAACGGGCCGAAAGGUCCGCUAAUACCGCAUAUGCCGCAAGGUGAAAGGAGUAAUCCGUCUAAAGAUGAGCCCGCGUCCGAUUAGCUAGUUGGUAGAGUAAAAGCCUACCAAGGCGACGAUCGGUAGCUGGUCUGAGAGGAUGAUCAGCCACAAUGGGACUGAGACACGGCCCAUACUCCUACGGGAGGCAGCAGUGGGGAAUUUUACGCAAUGGGGGAAACCCUGACGUAGCGACACCGCGUGAGCGAAGAAGCCCUUUGGGGUGUAAAGCUCUGUCAGC
RNAcentral lists this ribosomal RNA (385 nucleotides) under uncultured bacterium. RNAcentral's name for it is "bacterial SSU rRNA". It matches the Rfam family "Bacterial small subunit ribosomal RNA", at positions 28 to 440 of the family's 1533-position model. The record is from RNAcentral.